AAGCUGGUUGUAGAGGUGGCAGCUGAUCAAGCCAUGGGCAGGCGGGAUCCACUGCCUGAGUUGUAACUAGAGACUCCCCCGCAGUGUGGGGCUUGGCGAUGGGGCCACAGGCAGCAGGCAGCACCAGGCAGCCAGGCAAGCAGACAGCUGUGGCGGGCUCUGUGAGGAAGGGCAGGCCGUCCUCCCAAGAGGAGGAGCAGGUUGGCUGCAGGGCGUGAGUUGCUAGCAAUGAUUAAUUUAUUCCUUACUGGAUUUGUCAGGUGUCAGGGCCUAGGCACUGGCUGGGUGGCUGGGGAGGUGCCGAGGAUGAGAGGCUGCAGCAGGGGGGCUGGGUGACAGGGCCUCUGGGUGAGGCCCCUGGCCUGGAUGAGAUAAGGGGGCACCAAGCAGGAUGUCUUAACAGGAAGAAAACUCCCAUCAUAGCAGCCCUUAAGUGCACACGAAUCACCAGGGAUCUCUUUAAAAUGCAGAUUCACAUACGGCAGACCCAGGGUAGGGCAGGAGAGUCUGCAUUUCUAAAAAGUUCCCAGGUGAUGCCGAUGCUGCUGUUCCACGCCACACUUUGGCAGCAAGAUGAGGGAAAAGGGGAUUAAUUGUCAGCAUUCAGGGGAAGCUCACGACAUUCAAUAGCAGGAACUGGAAACCUGCAAGCUGUCAGCAGUGACAGCUUCUCUCUCUGGAGCCACAUGGUCUCUUGUCUGCACAUCUGCUCUCUUCUCCUCUCUAGCCUGGCUUCCUCUGCAAGCCUUUGUAACUUGGCUCGCCCUUGGCUGUCUUUACCACUGCCAGGACCCUGACCCCAACCUUAUGGCUCCAGCUCCUAACUCUGUCAGGCUAUAGUUUUUCUGGUCUCUUCUGACUUUUUUCUCUCUCAAGAUUCUGAUUGGCUCGGCUGGUCAGGUGUCCAUACUUGGUCCAAGAAGCUGUGCUAAGGGGCCAACAAGUAGGGCUGCUCAGGUGCUUUCAAUGGCGUCAUGGAACGCCCCCCCCCCCCCCCCCCCCCAUGGGUAGCCUCAGUCAGAUGGAUGGAGAGAAAUGCAGCCUUGAGGAACUGUUUUAAACACGUGUGAUCAGAAACUCUAGAAAAAAAGAAUUUCAGCAUAUAUUUUGGCUACUUUCCAAAAUGUGAGUUUAUUUGGAAUUAUUUCUAGAACUAGGUGGGUGGGCACCAAAAUCUUUUUCUUGUUUAAAGCCCUGGAAGGAGCGAGGGUUUGACAGGAGCCCCAAACAUGCCUCCAAGAGAAGAGGCCAGGGGGAGUGUCGCGAUGAAGGCCCUGUGGCUUGAGACAAAUGAGAAGAGAGGGAGAGAGCUGAGACGCGGGCUGUUCGCUUGGUGGUUCCUCAGUCGCCAGGGCAGCCUGACUGUGAAGGAGCUGCUGCAGCUCGCGGGAGCCCAGGAACAGUGACCCCGCCCUCGGAUCCCAGGUGCACGAGGCUGGCUGAGAUUUCAACGACAGUAGUCAGGUCUGCACAUGGGGAAAGGUCACGGCUCAUAAUAGCUUGGAUUGUUCAACCUAGACAUGUGCGGAUUAGGAAACAAGACGCAGAGAGACUCCGACCCGCUCAAGGUGAAAGUUCCACUUGGUGGCUGAGCCAGCCAAGGAUGCCUGCGUCCUGACAUCCAGCCCUGAGCUCUUCUGAAGAUGAGGGGACUCUUAAGAAUACACAAUACUUCCAGGCUUUUUGUUCCGACAGAAGUAAGUUUGCAAAGCAGUUGCGGAGGACUCUCUGAAGAAGGGCAAACAGUCCCCGAGGGGGUGGAGCUGCUGGCUCCAGGAGCUCUGUUGCCAGCAAGUAUUAAUUCACUCCGGCUGGCGCUGUCUUGGGGGCCUCCCGCGCACAAUAGCAUUAAGAGUGUUGGCAGCUGCGGAGGGAGAAGGCCCGCUCCACCUGGGAAUGAGGAAGAUGUGACUCCUCGCAAGGUUGCUCUCCUCCCAGCUCCCGCUCUUGGGAGAGAUGAUCAGUGCUUACGGGCCUGGGAGCAGGCUGCUGAGGACACAGUGUUCCCGGGGAUGGUGGCAGAUCUUGGAGAAGGGACAGAAGCUGGGCCAAGAGACUGGAACUUAUGCAAAUCAGGCCUGAGGAUGGUUCAAGGAGGGGGCAGCCCCUGCCUUAUGCCUCCCCGUCAGCAUACCCAGAACCAGACUCCUCAGGAGGAACAUCUUUUGUCUUCAAUGCUAAGCUUGUUCACGAGGAUGUGUGCGCUGGGAAAAUAGGUUUGGAGUUUGAUGAGCUGCCUGCUGCUGGCUCCUCUGUUUUCUGGCAUCAAGGUUCCUCAAUAGUGGACUCAACAGUUGCAUUUUUCACCUACAAAAGAAUUGCUAUCAGAAAACCAGACAGCGGAUAAUUGUAUUUUGUGAAUUGACAGUGAAGCCACUCGGUUUCAGCCCAGGUCCAAAGGCUGAGGAUGUUCACCCAGGAGAAAUGGUUUGUGCGAGAGAAUUCAUUUCUGAGUACUCAUUUUUACUGGAGGAAACAGGGUUGCUUGGAUUUUUUUUUUUUUUUUAUUCUUCUUCAACAUGUAGGCAGAAGGUUCAGAAUCCCUAACAGCUCUGGCGACCCCUGCUGUGUCAGUGUGAAUGCAAGAUGCCCAGUAAGACUGGAGGCUCCAGCUUCAACCAGAGCCUCAUCCAUCUCUUCAAACCUACCAGGGAAGGAAAUAAAAAUAUGUGCCCAUAAAUUUCCUCCUUGACGGGCAGCAAAUGCGCUGGCCUCCUGCCACCUGACAGUGAAACGUGAAGCUGGGGAGUGUCUCCCUGCAAGCGCACCUAGGGCUGCUCCUGCCCCCUUCUGGAGCAGGAUCAAAAUGCUUCCCAAGAAGUGCGCCAGCUGCCCUUGUGGGCCAGGCCCAGCCAUCCAAAGCUGCCGAAGAGCAACUUGGCUUCCUUUCCCUUCUCCCACUUGGACCACCAGGAUGCCUCUGCAGUUUUUUGGACUCCUGUUUUGACCAGUUAUCCCAAUUAACUUGAGCAAGAUAGAAGGAGAGACCUAUACCCCCCUCUUUGUCCGAGAAAAAAUGCACCAAGGGAGAGAGAAUGAAGACAAGCCUAUGAAUCUGUUCCCUGCACACAUCGAACUCAUUCCUAUCUCUGCGCAUGCUGUUCAACCCACUGGGAACACGCUUUCUUCUCCCAUCAGCACCCAUUUACCUAAAUUUUAUUCAUUCUUCAAGACUCCUUAAAUCCCGUCUGCUUCAUGAAGAUUUUUUAUCUGUGAGUUCACUCCCUCCACUGUCUCUUAC
RNAcentral lists this long non-coding RNA (3241 nucleotides) under Equus asinus (donkey). Its description in RNAcentral is "lncRNA (ENSEASG00005033009.1)". The record is from RNAcentral. Lineage: Eukaryota; Metazoa; Chordata; Mammalia; Perissodactyla; Equidae.